This 133-nucleotide ribosomal RNA is filed under the name uncultured bacterium. RNAcentral describes it as "partial 16S ribosomal RNA". It matches the Rfam family "Bacterial small subunit ribosomal RNA", at positions 374 to 524 of the family's 1533-position model. The record is from RNAcentral.
GGCGAAAGCCUGACGGAGCAAUGCCGCGUGAAGGAUGACACUCUAAGGAGCGUAAACUUCUUUUCUUAAGAAAGAUAAUGACGGUACUUAAGGAAUAAGCAUCGUCUAACUAUGUGCCAGCAGCCGCGGUAAU